This 407-nucleotide ribosomal RNA is filed under the name uncultured bacterium. Its description in RNAcentral is "partial 16S ribosomal RNA". It matches the Rfam family "Bacterial small subunit ribosomal RNA", at positions 28 to 526 of the family's 1533-position model. The record is from RNAcentral.
GACGCACGCUGGCGGCGUGCCUCAUACAUGCACGUAGAACGCAGUUGCGAACUGGUGAGUAACGCGUAGGUAACUGCCUCAUAGCGGGGGAUAACUAUUGGAAACGAUAGCUAAUACCGCAUACUGUGAGAUGGACCUGAGUUGUAUAAGCUAGUUGGUGAGGUAAUGGCUCACCAAGGCGCCGAUAAAUAGCCGACCUGAGAGGGUGAUCAGCCACACGGGGACUGAGACACGGCCCAGACGCGUACGGGAGGCAGCAGUAGGGAAUUCGCGGCAAUGGACGAAAGUCUGACCGAGCAACGACGCGUGAGUGAAGAAGGUUUUCGGAUCGUAAAACUCUGUUGUUAGAGAAGCGGUAUCUAACCAGAUAGCCACGGCUAACUACGUGCCAGCAGCCGCGGUAAUUC